Molecule: ribosomal RNA, 468 nt
Filed under: uncultured bacterium
Lineage: Bacteria
Description: partial 16S ribosomal RNA
Rfam family: Bacterial small subunit ribosomal RNA
Source: RNAcentral
GACGAACGCUGGCGGCGUGCUUAACACAUGCAAGUCGAACGGAAAGGCCCUGCUUUUGUGGGGUGCUCGAGUGGCGAACGGGUGAGUAACACGUGAGUAACCUGCCCUUGACUUUGGGAUAACUUCAGGAAACUGGGGCUAAUACCGGAUAGGAGCUCCUGCUGCAUGGUGGGGGUUGGAAAGUUUCGGCGGUUGGGGAUGGACUCGCGGCUUAUCAGCUUGUUGGUGGGGUAGUGGCUUACCCAGGCUUUGACGGGUAGCCGGCCUGAGAGGGUGACCGGCCACAUGGGGCCUGAGAUACGGCCCAGACUCCAACGGGAGGCAGUAGUGGGGAAUAUUGCACAGUGGGCGGAAGUCUGAUGCAGAGACGCCGCGUGCGUGAAGACGGCCUUCGGGUUGUAAACCGCUUUCGCCUGUGACGAAGCGGGAGUGACGGUAAUGGGUGAAGAAGCACCGGCUAACUACGUG